CGGGGCAGUCCGUGUCGCCGUGGUCUGCUCCCCGACUUCGAAGCUCGUGGCUUAGGAGUCGUUACAGCGCCCCCACCCCCGCUCCGGUCCGCGCUCGCCGAGCAGUCUGCGAGCUAGAGAAGAGCGCGAUUAUCCGUGUGACUCAUCCAGCCCUCCGUCCCUUCCCUGCGCGCGCAGCAGCUGGGCGCGGGUCCCGGAGCGCCAGUGCGGGCUCUUGGCCUGCCCUCGCGGGGUUCUUCGCGGGCUCUCCUGCCUGGUGGGGCUCCGAGCAGUCAAGCCCACCGAAAUGGACUUAGCUGGGAAAGUGGACACGUGCCAGGAAGCGGAGCGGUGCGGUGGGACCCCGGUUCCCGAAAAGGGCAGCAGGAGCUCGCGGCAGCCGUUCCUGCCCACCGGGAAGAGAAGAGGAAACGGCGAUCGUUAUUUCAGCCUUAUAACUUUGCCUUCCCACCCCCACAGUCCCCUAAGUUUGUGAUCAGUAAUUUUCCAGCCGGGAAAUGUUUUCGCCCUCAUCUCUGCAAACAGUGGCGUGGUUUUUUUUGUUUUG
This is a long non-coding RNA of Suricata suricatta (meerkat), 547 nucleotides long. RefSeq lists it as uncharacterized. The record is from RefSeq and is a predicted model, not a curated record. The transcript has 2 exons. NCBI's taxonomy places the organism in Eukaryota, Metazoa, Chordata, Mammalia, Carnivora, Herpestidae.